AACCUUUGCAAUGUGCGCAAGCACGACAAGGUUAAUCCGAGUGUUUCCUGCUAAAGGAAUCUUUUGCUAGUCCUAAAAACACUAGCGAAUAAGGGGUGGGCAAGUUCUGGUGUCAGCCGCCGCGGUAAAACCAGCACCUCAAGUUGUCAGGAGGAUUAUUGGGCCUAAAGCAUCCGUAGCCUGCUCUGUAAGUUUCCGGUUAAAUCCAUUAGCUCAACUAAUGGGCUGCCGGAAAAACUGCAAAGCUAGGAAGUGGGAGAGGUAGACGGUACUCGGUAGGAAGGGGUAAAAUCCUUUGAUCUAUUGAUGACCACCUGUGGCGAAGGCGGUCUACCAGAACACGUUCGACGGUGAGGGAUGAAAGCUGGGGGAGCAAACCGGAUUAGAUACCCGGGUAGUCCCAGCUGUAAACGAUGCAGACUCGGUGAUGCGCUGGCUUGUGGCCAGUGCAGUGCCGCAGGGAAGCCGUUAAGUUUGCCGCCUGGGAAGUACGUACGCAAGUAUGAAACUUAAAGGAAUUGGCGGGGGAGCAC
Molecule: ribosomal RNA, 533 nt
Filed under: uncultured archaeon
Lineage: Archaea
Description: bacterial SSU rRNA
Rfam family: Archaeal small subunit ribosomal RNA
Source: RNAcentral